Rhagoletis pomonella (apple maggot) is the source of this 351-nucleotide long non-coding RNA. RefSeq lists it as uncharacterized. The transcript has 3 exons. Lineage: Eukaryota; Metazoa; Arthropoda; Insecta; Diptera; Tephritidae. The record is from RefSeq and is a predicted model, not a curated record.
AUACGACUGACAUGAGCGCAUCGAGGAAAAAUUAAAUCGAAUUAACUAUAGAAUCACGUCGCAUAAGCAGUGCACGGCAAAUCAGCGUAUCGAACGAGUACACUAUAGAAUCUCGGCGCGUAAGCGUAGCAGCCACGAUAGAAACUCACGCAGGUUCUCUAGAACCACCACAAAACGUGUACGAAGUGGUGUGCUGCAGUCACUGCUCCACGUUCGAAAAAAAGUUCGAAAAACUUGAGGGCACCAUUAAGGAGCUUCGGCGGGUGGUAGAAUCCCAAAAUGUCGCAAUAAUGGACGCUAUCGCAACUCAGAAGGUGGCAACAGAGCAACUAGUUCGGCAGGAGUCAGAAA